UCCAUAAUAUCGCUCAAUUACAUUUUUUGUAAGCGGGGGAACCAAUUUUUGUACAUGUUUGUACAUUUGGGGUGAAACCUUUUAUAGGUGGGGAGACUCUUUAUUCCCUAAUCCGUCAGCUAACCUCGUAAGCGUCUAGAGAGAGUCAUG
This 150-nucleotide small RNA is filed under the name Heyndrickxia ginsengihumi. RNAcentral's name for it is "Bacillus ginsengihumi c-di-AMP sequence". It matches the Rfam family "c-di-AMP riboswitch aptamer (ydaO/yuaA leader)". Rfam says of the family: This family represents a conserved RNA structure found upstream of the ydaO and yuaA genes in Bacillus subtilis and related genes in other bacteria. The ydaO/yuaA element is thought to act as a genetic "off" switch for the ydaO and yuaA genes in its native state. It is believed that the element may be triggered during osmotic shock leading to activation of ydaO, a predicted amino acid transporter gene, and members of the yuaA-yubG operon which code for KtrA and KtrB K+ transporters. Lineage: Bacteria; Bacillati; Bacillota; Bacilli; Caryophanales; Bacillaceae. The record is from Rfam by way of RNAcentral.